Molecule: ribosomal RNA, 253 nt
Filed under: uncultured bacterium
Lineage: Bacteria
Description: partial 16S ribosomal RNA
Rfam family: Bacterial small subunit ribosomal RNA
Source: RNAcentral
UACAGAGGUCCCAAGCGUUGUUCGGAUUCAUUGGGCGUAAAGGGUGCGUAGGUGGCGCCGUAAGUCGGGUGUGAAAUUUCGGAGCUUAACUCCGAAACUGCAUUCGAUACUGCGGUGCUUGAGGACUGGAGAGGAGACUGGAAUUCAUGGUGUAGCAGUGAAAUGCGUAGAGAUCAUGAGGAAGACCAGUGGCGAAGGCGGGUCUCUGGGCAUCUCCUGACGCUGAGGCGCGAAAGCGUGGGGAGCAAACGGG